GGAUCAGUACGCUGGUCAUGCCUCUGGUAUGUACUGGUCUCACUGAUUCCUCCUUCCUGAUGAGCCGUAAUGCCAUUAAUUUGGUGUUGCGGGGAAUUUGGACUGUUACUUUGAAAAAAUUAGAGUGUUUAAAGCAGGCUCACGCUUGAAUACAUUAGCAUGGAAUAAUGAAAUAGGACGUUUGAUUCUAUUUUGUUGGUUUCUAGGAUCGACGUA
Molecule: ribosomal RNA, 216 nt
Filed under: Campeiostachys nutans
Lineage: Eukaryota; Viridiplantae; Streptophyta; Magnoliopsida; Poales; Poaceae
Description: Elymus nutans partial small subunit ribosomal RNA
Rfam family: Eukaryotic small subunit ribosomal RNA (bases 40-216)
Source: RNAcentral